UGGGGAAUAUUGGGCAAUGGGCGCAAGCCUGACCCAGCAACGCCGCGUGAAUGAUGAAGGUCUUCGGAUUGUAAAGUUCUUUUCUAAGGGAAGAAGAAAGUGACGGUACCUUAGGAAUAAGCCUCGGCUAACUACGUGCCAGCAGCCGCGGUAAUACGUAGGAGGCAAGCGUUAUCCGGAAUGACUGGGCGUAAAGGGUGCGUAGGUGGUUUGACAAGUUGGUAGCGUAACUCCGGGGCUCAACCUCGGCACUACUACCAAAACUGUUGGACUUGAGUGCAGGAGGGGCAAAUGGAAUUCCUAGUGUAGCGGUGGAAUGCGUAGAUAUUAGGAGGAACACCAGUGGCGAAGGCGAUUUGCUGGACUGUAACUGACACUGAGGCACGAAAGCGUGGGUAGCAAACAGG
This 407-nucleotide ribosomal RNA is filed under the name uncultured bacterium. RNAcentral's name for it is "bacterial SSU rRNA". It matches the Rfam family "Bacterial small subunit ribosomal RNA", at positions 355 to 776 of the family's 1533-position model. The record is from RNAcentral.